This 468-nucleotide ribosomal RNA is filed under the name uncultured bacterium. RNAcentral describes it as "partial 16S ribosomal RNA". It matches the Rfam family "Bacterial small subunit ribosomal RNA", at positions 28 to 507 of the family's 1533-position model. The record is from RNAcentral.
GACGAACGCUGGCGGCGUGCUUAACACAUGCAAGUCGAACGGAAAGGCCCUGCUUUUGUGGGGUGCUCGAGUGGCGAACGGGUGAGUAACACAUGAGUAACCUGGCCUUGACUUUGGGAUAACUUCAGGAAACUGGUGCUAAUACCUGAUUGGAGCUCCUGCUGCAUGGUGGGGGUUGGAAAGUUUCGGCGGUUGGGGAUGGACUCGCGGCUUAUCAGCUUGUUGGUGGGGGACUGGCUUACCAACGCUUUGACGGGUAGCCGGCAUGAGAGGGUGACCGGCGACAUUGGGACUGAGAGACGGCGCAGUCUGCUACGGGAGGCAGCAGGGGAGAACCUUGCACAACGAGGGGAAGUGUGAGGCAGCAACGUUGGGAUUGUGAUGCCGGCCUUCGUGGGGGAAAGCGCUGUCGCCUGUUACGAAGCUUGAGUGACGUUAAUGGGUAAAGAAGCACCGGCUAACUACGUG